UUUGUCUCCAUGUUAUUUGUUCUCUAAAGUAUUGGAUUAUAAAUGUGUACUGUGGCAGCUGUCUGGAAAAUUCAAAAGUGAAGACGUAGUUGUGUUUUCUGUUUGUUUGUUUUGUUUUAUUUUAUUUUAUUUAUUUUUUAAGACUGGGUUUCUCUGUGGCUUUCGAGGAUGUCUGGAACUAGAACUUCAGACCAGGCUGCUCUCAAACUUACAGAAAUCAACCAGCCUCUGCAUCCUGAGUGCUGGGAUUAAAGUCAUAUGCCACCACACCAUACUUGAAGGGAUAGUUGUUAACAUGGAUAUUCAAAUUGAUAAGAUCUUGAUUCAGCGAAGGGACACUUCGAUCAUAUUAUUCUCUGGGAACCCUGACAAUUUUGGAAUUUGCAAGGAUAUUUCUGCCUUAAAGACUUGACUGAAAAUGCACGACUGAAGGGCUCCUGGAGAGAUGCUGACUCUGUCACAGAUUUGAAACCCCUUCAGAGAGGUUGUGAGAGGAUACAUCUUGCAGUGGACACCUGAAAUUGU
RNAcentral lists this long non-coding RNA (525 nucleotides) under Cricetulus griseus (Chinese hamster). RNAcentral describes it as "lncRNA (ENSCGRG00015041741.1)". The record is from RNAcentral. Lineage: Eukaryota; Metazoa; Chordata; Mammalia; Rodentia; Cricetidae.